AUACGGAGGGGGUUAGCGUUGUUCGGAAUUACUGGGCGUAAAGCGCACGUAGGCGGAUUGGAAAGUUGGGGGUGAAAUCCCAGGGCUCAACCCUGGAACUGCCUCCAAAACUAACAGUCUAGAGUUCGAGAGAGGUGAGUGGAAUUCCAAGUGUAGAGGUGAAAUUCGUAGAUAUUUGGAGGAACACCAGUAGCGAAGGCGGCUCACUGGCUCGAUACUGACGCUGAGGUGCGAAAGCGUGGGGAGCAAACAGGAUUAGAAACCCGAGUAGUCC
This 274-nucleotide ribosomal RNA is filed under the name uncultured bacterium. RNAcentral's name for it is "partial 16S ribosomal RNA". It matches the Rfam family "Bacterial small subunit ribosomal RNA", at positions 523 to 796 of the family's 1533-position model. The record is from RNAcentral.